RNAcentral lists this ribosomal RNA (94 nucleotides) under uncultured bacterium. Its description in RNAcentral is "partial 16S ribosomal RNA". The record is from RNAcentral.
CGGUAAAGCUCUGUGGGGAGGGAAGAACAAGCUUGUGGCUAACAUCCACGAGCCCUGACGGUACCUCCUUAGCAAGCACCGGCUAACUCCGUGC